GCGGGAGUGGCGAAAAGGUAUACGCACUAGAUUUAGAUCCUAGAUAUUUACGAGUUCGAGUCUCGUCUCCCGUA
This 74-nucleotide transfer RNA is filed under the name endosymbiont of Pachyrhynchus infernalis. It matches the Rfam family "tRNA". From Rfam's summary of the family: Transfer RNA (tRNA) molecules are approximately 80 nucleotides in length. Their secondary structure includes four short double-helical elements and three loops (D, anti-codon, and T loops). Lineage: Bacteria; Pseudomonadati; Pseudomonadota; Gammaproteobacteria. The record is from Rfam by way of RNAcentral.